UACCUGGUUGAUCCUGCCAGUAAUCAUAUGCUUGUCUCAAAGAUUAAGCCAUGCAUGUCUAAGUACAUGCCGAAAUAAGGCGAAACCGCGAAUGGCUCAUUAAAUCAGUUAUGGUUCCUUAGAUCGUUUCUUCCUACUUGGAUAACUGUGGCAAUUCUAGAGCUAAUACAUGCAGUGAGCCUGAAGCCCUUUGGGCGACGGGUGCUUUUAUUAGACCAAGAUCGAUCGGGUUUCGGCCCGUAUUGUGUGGUGACUCUGGAUAACUUUGUGCUGAUCGCAUGGCCACGAGCCGGCGACGUUUCUUUCAAGUGUCUGCCUUAUCAACUUUCGAUGGUAGGUUACUUGCUUACCAUGGUUGUUACGGGUAACGGAGAAUCAGGGUUCGAUUCCGGAGAGGGAGCCUGAGAAACGGCUACCACAUCCAAGGAAGGCAGCAGGCGCGCAAAUUACCCACUCCCGGCACGGGGAGGUAGUGACGAAAAAUAACAAUACGGGACUCUUUUGAGGCCCCGUAAUUGAAAUGAGUACACUCUAAAUCCUUUAACGAGGAUCAAUUGGAGGGCAAGUCUGGUGCCAGCAGCCGCGGUAAUUCCAGCUCCAAUAGCGUAUACUAAAGCUGCUGCGGUUAAAAAGCUCGUAGUUGGAUCUCAGUUCCAGACGAGUAGUGCAUCUACCCGAUGCGACGGCUCGGACUGAACAUCAUGCCGGUCCUUUCUUGGUGCACUUCAUUGUGUGCCUCGAGAAGGCCGGUGCUUUUACUUUGAAAAAAUUAGAGUGCUCAACGCAGGCGAGUCGCCUGAAUAAACUUGCAUGGAAUAAUAGAACAAGACCUCGUUUCUGUUCUGUUGGUUUUUGGAAUACGAGGUAAUGAUUAAGAGGGACAGACGGGGGCAUUCGUAUUGCGGCGCUAGAGGUGAAAUUCUUGGACCGUCGCAAGACGAACUACUGCGAAAGCAUUUGCCAAGAAUGUUUUCUUUGAUCAAGAACGAAAGUCAGAGGUUCGAAGGCGAUCAGAUACCGCCCUAGUUCUGACCAUAAACGAUGCCAACCAGCGAUCCGCCUGAGUUACUCAAAUGACUCGGGCGGGCAGCUUCCGGGAAACCAAAGUGUUUGGGUUCCGGGGGAAGUAUGGUUGCAAAGCUGAAACUUAAAGGAAUUGACGGAAGGGCACCACCAGGAGUGGAGCCUGCGGCUUAAUUUGACUCAACACGGGAAAACUUACCCGGCCCGGACACUGGGAGGAUUGACAGAUUGAGAGCUCUUUCUUGAUUCGGUGGAUGGUGGUGCAUGGCCGUUCUUAGUUGGUGGAGCGAUUUGUCUGGUUAAUUCCGAUAACGAACGAGACUCUAGCCUAUUAAAUAGGUGCGGGGUUCCCAGCACCUUACAACCUUCUUAGAGGGACAAGCGGCUCCUAGCCGCACGAAACAGAGCAAUAACAGGUCUGUGAUGCCCUUAGAUGUCCGGGGCCGCACGCGCGCUACACUGAAGGAAGCAGCGUGUCUUUAUCCCUGUCUGAAAAGACUGGGUAACCCGUGGAACUUCUUUCGUGAUUGGGAUAGGGGCUUGCAAUUGUUCCCCUUGAACGAGGAAUUCCCAGUAAGCGCGAGUCAUAAGCUCGCGUUGAUUACGUCCCUGCCCUUUGUACACACCGCCCGUCGCUACUACCGAUUGAAUGAUUUAGUGAGGUCUUCGGACCGAUGUCCGGCGCGGCCUUUCGGUUGCGCCGGUCUGUUGGAAAGAUGACCAAACUUGAUCAUUUAGAGGAAGUAAAAGUCGUAACAAGGUUUCCGUAGGUGAACCUGCGGAAGGAUCAUUA
Molecule: ribosomal RNA, 1816 nt
Filed under: Dermacentor andersoni
Lineage: Eukaryota; Metazoa; Arthropoda; Arachnida; Ixodida; Ixodidae
Description: small subunit ribosomal RNA
Rfam family: Eukaryotic small subunit ribosomal RNA
Source: RNAcentral